UGUACUUUUGUUUUAUACCUUUGAGAGUAGAUGUUGUAUAGGGUGAGGUUUUGGAGAGAUUUGAUGUAUUAUAUUUUGAUGAAAAGAAUACAAGUUGUAUUUAAAGGUUUAAAGCUAAUGAUGUUGGGAAGGAUUUUAUAUGUCCUAGUUUAUGUUUAAAUAGUUAAGUUUCUCUCUUUUGUAUACUUGUAUGAUUUUACUUGUAUCACUUGCUCUAGUUGGUUGUAGUACUGUUGUGCUUUCGU
Molecule: long non-coding RNA, 245 nt
Filed under: Ananas comosus (pineapple)
Lineage: Eukaryota; Viridiplantae; Streptophyta; Magnoliopsida; Poales; Bromeliaceae
Description: long non-coding RNA (ACOM_LNC007165)
Source: RNAcentral